RNAcentral lists this ribosomal RNA (405 nucleotides) under uncultured bacterium. RNAcentral's name for it is "bacterial SSU rRNA". It matches the Rfam family "Bacterial small subunit ribosomal RNA", at positions 355 to 775 of the family's 1533-position model. The record is from RNAcentral.
CAAGGAAUUUUCCGCAAUGGGCGCAAGCCUGACGGAGCAACGCCGCGUGUGGGAUGACGCUUUUCGGAGUGUAAACCACUGUUCCUGGGGACGAAGCACUGACGGUACCCAGGGAGGAAGGCCCGGCUAACUACGUGCCAGCAGCCGCGGUAAUACGUAGGGGUCGAGCGUUGUCCGGAGUUACUGGGCGUAAAGCGCGCGCAGGUGGCUCAUUACGCCCGGCGUGAAAGCCCCCGGCCUAACCGGGGAAGGUCGUCGGGUACGGGUGAGCUUGAGGGUAUCAGGGGCUGGUGGAAUUCCCGGUGUAGUGGUGAAAUGCGUAGAGAUCGGGAGGAACACCCGUGGCGAAGGCGGCCAGCUGGGAUACACCUGACACUGAGGCGCGAAGGCGUGGGGAGCGAACGG